UACGAAGGGUGCAAGCGUUAAUCGGAAUUACUGGGCGUAAAGCGUGCGUAGGCGGUUUGUUAAGUCUGCUGUGAAAUCCCCGGGCUCAACCUGGGAAUGGCAGUGGAUACUGGCAAGCUAGAGUGUGUCAGAGGAUGGUGGAAUUCCCGGUGUAGCGGUGAAAUGCGUAGAGAUCGGGAGGAACAUCAGUGGCGAAGGCGGCCAUCUGGGACAACACUGACGCUGAGGCACGAAAGCGUGGGGAGCAAACAGGAUUAGAAACCCCAGUAGUCC
This 273-nucleotide ribosomal RNA is filed under the name uncultured Dyella sp. RNAcentral describes it as "partial 16S ribosomal RNA". It matches the Rfam family "Bacterial small subunit ribosomal RNA", at positions 524 to 796 of the family's 1533-position model. Lineage: Bacteria; Pseudomonadati; Pseudomonadota; Gammaproteobacteria; Lysobacterales; Rhodanobacteraceae. The record is from RNAcentral.